RNAcentral lists this long non-coding RNA (1633 nucleotides) under Oncorhynchus kisutch (coho salmon). Its description in RNAcentral is "lncRNA (ENSOKIG00005025726.1)". Lineage: Eukaryota; Metazoa; Chordata; Actinopteri; Salmoniformes; Salmonidae. The record is from RNAcentral.
UUUCUUGCGAACUCAAAACCCAACAAUUCAAUAAUCAAUAACAACGUAAUCAGUAGGAAAACAACACGUGAGAAAUAAGAUUAGGAAAUAUGAAAUACACAAAAUUAAGUAAGCAAUACUAAGCUAAGCUAUGUUGACACAUCUAUGUUACCACAUCUAUGUUGCCACAUCUAUGUUGCCACAUCUAUGUUGCCACAUCUAUGUUGCCACAUCUAUGUUACCACAUCUAUGUUGCCACAUCUAUGUUACCACAUCUAUGUUGCCACAUCUAUGUUGCCACAUCUAUGUUGCCACAUCUAUGUUGCCACAUCUAUGUUGCCACAUCUAUGUUACCACAUCUAUGUUACCACAUCUAUGUUACCACAUCUAUGUACCACAUCUAUGUUUCCACAUCUAUGUUACCACAUCUAUGUUACCACAUCUAUGUUGCCACAUCUAUGUUGCCACAUCUAUGUUACCACAUCUAUGUUGCCACAUCUAUGUUGCCACAUCUAUGUUGCCACAUCUAUGUUGCCACAUCUAUGUUGCCACAUCUAUGUUACCACAUCUAUGUACCACAUCUAUGUUGCCACAUCUAUGUUGCCACAUCUAUGUUGCCACAUCUAUGUUGCCACAUCUAUGUUGCCACAUCUAUGUUGCCACAUCUAUGUUGCCACAUCUAUGUUACCACAUCUAUGUUACCACAUCUAUGUUACCACAUCUAUGUUGCCACAUCUAUGUUGCCACAUCUAUGUUACCACAUCUAUGUUGCCACAUCUAUGUUGCCACAUCUAUGUUGCCACAUCUAUGUUGCCACAUCUAUGUUCCACAUCUAUGUUACCACAUCUAUGUUACCACAUCUAUGUUACCACAUCUAUGUUGCCACAUCUAUGUUGCCACAUCUAUGUUGCCACAUCUAUGUUACCACAUCUAUGUUACCACAUCUAUGUUACCACAUCUAUGUUGCCACAUCUAUGUUACCACAUCUAUGUUGCCACAUCUAUGUUGCCACAUCUAUGUUGCCACAUCUAUGUUACCACAUCUAUGUUACCACAUCUAUGUUGCCACAUCUAUGUUGCCACAUCUAUGUUGCCACAUCUAUGUUGCCACAUCUAUGUUGCCACAUCUAUGUUACCACAUCUAUGUUACCACAUCUAUGCUCCACAUCUAUGCUCCACAUCUAUGUUCCACAUCUAUGUUACCACAUCUAUGUUACCACAUCUAUGUUGCCACAUCUAUGUUACCACAUCUAUGUUGCCACAUCUAUGUUGCCACAUCUAUGUUACCACAUCUAUGUUCCACAUCUAUGUUGCCACAUCUAUGUUACCACAUCUAUGUUCCACAUCUAUGUUGCCACAUCUAUGCUCCACAUCUAUGCUCCACAUCUAUGUUCCACAUCUAUGUUGCCACAUCUAUGCUCCACAUCUAUAUUCCACAUCUAUGUUCCACAUCUAUGUUCCACAUCUAUGUUGCCACAUCUAUGUUACCACAUCUAUGUUACCACAUCUAUGUUCCACAUCUAUGUUGCCACAUCUAUGCUCCACAUCUAUGCUCCACAUCUAUGUUCCACAUCUAUGUUGCCACAUCUAUGCUCCACAUCUAUGUUCCACAUCUAUGUUACCACAUCUAUGUUCAACAUAUAAAUGGAACCUCC